This 253-nucleotide ribosomal RNA is filed under the name uncultured bacterium. Its description in RNAcentral is "partial 16S ribosomal RNA". It matches the Rfam family "Bacterial small subunit ribosomal RNA", at positions 524 to 776 of the family's 1533-position model. The record is from RNAcentral.
UACGUAGGGGGCAAGCGUUAUCCGGAUUUACUGGGUGUAAAGGGAGCGUAGACGGCACUGCAAGUCUGGAGUGAAAGCCCGGGGCUCAACCCCGGGACUGCUUUGGAAACUGUGGUGCUGGAGUGCAGGAGAGGUAAGUGGAAUUCCUAGUGUAGCGGUGAAAUGCGUAGAUAUUAGGAGGAACACCAGUGGCGAAGGCGGCUUACUGGACUGUAACUGACGUUGAGGCUCGAAAGCGUGGGGAGCAAACAGG